GAUGAACGCUGGCGGCGUGCCUAAUACAUGCAAGUCGAGCGAACAGACGAGGAGCUUGCUCCUCUGACGUUAGCGGCGGACGGGUGAGUAACACGUGGAUAACCUACCUAUAAGACUGGGAUAACUUCGGGAAACCGGAGCUAAUACCGGAUAAUAUAUUGAACCGCAUGGUUCAAUAGUGAAAGACGGUUUUGCUGUCACUUAUAGAUGGAUCCGCGCCGCAUUAGCUAGUUGGUAAGGUAACGGCUUACCAAGGCAACGAUGCGUAGCCGACCUGAGAGGGUGAUCGGCCACCCUGGAACUGAGACACGGUCCAGACUCCUACGGGAGGCAGCAGUAGGGAAUCUUCCGCAAUGGGCGAAAGCCUGACGGAGCAACGCCGCGUGAGUGAUGAAGGUCUUCGGAUCGUAAAACUCUGUUAUUCGGGAAGAACAAAUGUGUAAGUAACUAUGCACGUCUUGACGGUACCUAAUCAGAAAGCCACGGCUAACUACGUG
This 497-nucleotide ribosomal RNA is filed under the name uncultured bacterium. Its description in RNAcentral is "partial 16S ribosomal RNA". It matches the Rfam family "Bacterial small subunit ribosomal RNA", at positions 28 to 507 of the family's 1533-position model. The record is from RNAcentral.